UUGAAAGGGAAACGAUUGAAGUCAGUCGUACCUAUGGGUAAUCAGCCUUUUGGGUGUGAUUUUGUGGAGCGUGAGGAGUUAAACGCCUUCAUGCCUGCAUAUUCGUGCACUUUGGGUGUACUUGCCCGUGUGUGAGUUAACAUCAAUUUUGGUGGUCAUAAAUGGCUGGAGGAAUGUAGCUUCGAUCUUGUAUUGAAGUGUUAUAGCCUUCGGUAGAUGUGACGAUCGGGAUUGAGGAUUGCAACGGAUACCCUUCGGGGCUACCUGUCUGAUCUCUGAUUGUUGCUCUGGUACCGAAAGCUUGCUUACGGUUAUCAAAGUCGAUGGUCAAUAGGUUAGAACGGGUUAAAUUCGUUAAGGAUGUUGACGUA
Molecule: ribosomal RNA, 371 nt
Filed under: uncultured Glomeromycotina
Lineage: Eukaryota; Fungi; Glomeromycota
Description: LSU rRNA
Source: RNAcentral